Molecule: ribosomal RNA, 301 nt
Filed under: uncultured bacterium
Lineage: Bacteria
Description: partial 16S ribosomal RNA
Rfam family: Bacterial small subunit ribosomal RNA
Source: RNAcentral
CAGCAGCCACGGUAAUACAGAGGAUGCAAGCGUUAUCCGGAAUGAUUGGGCGUAAAGCGUCUGUAGGUGGCUUUUCAAGUCCGCCGUCAAAUCCCAGGGCUCAACCUUGGACAGGCGGUGGAAACUACCAAGCUGGAGUGCGGUAGGGGCAGAGGGAAUUUCCAGUGGAGCGGUGAAAUGCGUUGAGAUCGAAAAGAACACCAACGGCGAAAGCACUCUGCUGGGACGACACUGACACUAAGAGACGAAAGCUAGGGGAGCAAAUGGGAUUAGAUACCCCUGUAGUCCCUGUCUCUUAUAA